Mangifera indica (mango) is the source of this 2110-nucleotide long non-coding RNA. RefSeq lists it as uncharacterized. The transcript has 5 exons. Lineage: Eukaryota; Viridiplantae; Streptophyta; Magnoliopsida; Sapindales; Anacardiaceae. The record is from RefSeq and is a predicted model, not a curated record.
UUAUAAUUAUAAGAGGAGAGCAAGUUUGUUUGCACUGCAUCACCAUUUCUUUCAACAAAAACCAUCAACUAAUAACUAACUGACUUGAUCUUUCAUGGCAUAUGAAUUGCCUUUUUCAUCUUCUCCUCCCAAAACACCCUUCCCUUUCUCUUAAUUCCGGAUUUCCCCCUCCUCUCCUCUUUCCUUUAACCGUUCGCGCCACUGCCGCAUCCUCCCUCACUCUUCAACAGUAUUUAACUAAAAGAUUGGAGGCUGAGUUGUUCUGUUGCCCAAUUUGCUAUUAACUGCUCGCAAGAAAAGGACCUUCUGAUCUUAACUUAUAAGUAGUUUGAUUUGAUUUGAUUAUAUGUAAACUCUUGAGUUCAAGAUGAAGUUAAAUUUUUUGAAUUGCAAACCAGUUGGCCAGCUAUUUAUCGGUCUGGUUUCAAGUGUGAUAAGUGUGACAGGUCGUAUUCCAGUAAAGAUAACUAUCUUGAUCUCACUGUCAUUGCUGGGUUGAGGACUAUGUUGAAGUCAAACCAGCUUCUAUUGACCUAUUCCUGAAUUCAUUUUAUGUUUUGAGUUAUAUAUAAUUUGUUGGAGGAAAUGCUUCUGUACCCUUGCUAGGAGUCCAUUUGUAUCCUUUUUGUAUGAAAGGGGUGGCGUCAGAAUUUCAAUCGAAGUGGCUUCCCUGGUCCUGAUGAAGAGUUCAAAAUGGCUUAGGAAUACUUCAAACCUGUGGAAGGUGGCCUUCUAGUAGAUGUUAGCUGUGGGAGUGGUCUGUUCACCAGAUUAUUCGUGGAAUCAGGGACAUAUUCUGGCGUCAUUGCUCUUGAUUUUUCAGAGAAUAUUCUUCGUCGAACUUAUGAUUUCAUUAAGCAAGAUAAUACCAUUUUGACUCCUCAAGUUUAUACCUCUUUCUCAGAUUCCCAAAUUUGAAGUCACUGUAACAUCAGAUAACCCAGUGUUGAAGUUAUGCAUUUUAAAAUAAUGAUAAAGAAAAGAACUGACUAGCACUUAUAUGUGAAGCAGUCUUGCUCUCGUCUGGGCAGAUGUUUCUAGGCUUCCCUUCUCAUCUGGUUCUGUUGAUGCUGUUCAUGCUGCGGCAGUCUUGCACUGCUGGCCUUCUCCUUCCAAUGCUUCAAGUGUUGUCUCUCCCUGACUCCCCAGAAGUGCCAAAUUGAUUGUCGUUGGAAAAUGAGGACCUAGUCCUCUAUCUACAUUAAGUCUAACCUAUUUAUAUAUGUAACACUUCUUUUUUCUUUUCUUGUUGGGCCCAAAAACUGGUUUAGGGAAAAACUCUGUCCAGAACUUGUUUAACAUAUUGAUGAUCAUUAUAUUCAAAAUAUCAUCUCCAUGAAAUAUGAUGUGACAGAUGGAGCUGUUUCGCAUUGUUGAGCAAUAUUUCAUAUUGGUCUAGCUAGUUAUUAUUCAUUGAAGAAACCAUGGACUCCUCUAAGUCUUGUAAUUGUGACCAUGAAACUGUUGCCCUUCAUGGGAGCUGAAUAAGGAUAUGCAAGGAUGGUAAAAAGGCUUGACUGAUUGUGAAAAGUAUAGAUUGACUGCAAUAAUACUUUUGGGAUCUUGACAAUUGUGAUUGGUGUUCAUCCAGGUUGUGGAUCAUAUGCUGCAAAGCAGAACAAGGAAACCCGCAGCUGCUAUGAGCCAUAAGUCAGUAGGUCUUGCAUGGGAUUCGUGCUGCUUUAAGUGACUCCAUUCUUUCUCAAUGACUGGAAAAUUAUGAGCACUAGUGGCAGGGUAUUUGUUGGAACCACUUUUCUUAGAUACACUUCUUCUACUUCCUGGAUAACAAGAGCUCUGAGACAGAGGAAUCUGCGGAACUAUAGUUAUUUAACGGAAGAAGAGACUGAAGACGUGUGCACACCAUGGGGUCUCACCAACUACACAAGCAAAGUUCAACAAUCAUUCAUCUUGUUUUCUGCUCAGAAGCCUUGAAACUAGGUGAUUGAUUUGAAUUACAUAUUCUCCAUACUUGGUUGUAUCAUUACAUGACGGUCAGAGUUUAUUUAUUUGUAUAAAACACAUAUAAAUUUAGUAAACAAUUCCUGAAAAAGUGAUAACUUGGGAACAUGUAAAUUAAUGGAAAAAACCCCGGAACUUGAAACUCAAA